This 371-nucleotide ribosomal RNA is filed under the name uncultured eukaryote. RNAcentral's name for it is "SSU rRNA". It matches the Rfam family "Eukaryotic small subunit ribosomal RNA", at positions 587 to 972 of the family's 1831-position model. The record is from RNAcentral.
AGCUCCAAUAGCGUAUAUUAAAGUUGUUGCAGUUAAAAAGCUCGUAGUUGGAUUUCUGAAAGGAUAGUUAUGCCCUCUGCUGAGUGCGCAUGACCGUCUUUUCAUCCUUCUGUUAACCUUGGAGUCCUUCACGGUCUCCCUGGGGCUCAGAUAUUUUACCUUGAGAAAAUUAGAGUGUUUCAGGCAGGCUAGCGCCGGAAUACAUUAGCAUGGAAUAAUGGAAUAGGACUUUUGCCUCUUCUGUUGGUCAUGGGGUUCGAGUAAUGAUUAAUAGGGAUAGUUGGGGGCAUUAGUACUUCACUGUCAGAGGUGAAAUUCUCGGAUUUGUGAAAGACUAACUUAUGCGAAAGCAUUUGCCAAGGAUGUUUUCA